Molecule: small RNA, 1376 nt
Filed under: Caenorhabditis elegans
Lineage: Eukaryota; Metazoa; Nematoda; Chromadorea; Rhabditida; Rhabditidae
Description: Unclassified non-coding RNA Y54F10AL.6
Source: RNAcentral
GAAAACAUGAAAUUCUCGCUCACUUUCCUAUUAGUGAGCCUUCUCAUUCUUGUCCCGCACGUGACGGUCGCCGAAAGUGAUGCAGUUGUAAGUUUUUUCGUUUUUUAAGUCAAAAAUUUGAAUUUCCCGCUAAAAAUUGGUUAAAACCCCGAAAAAUUGAAUUAUUUCCAGAAAGACGUGGAUACCGUCGACGUGAAGCUCGAUGAGACCGCUGUAGUGGAGAAAACUGAAGAAAAAGAGGCACAGAAGGAGCACAAGGUGCGGAAAAGCGAAAAAUCGAUAAAUUCAGGCGGAAAAUUUGUUAAAAUCUCUAUCAAUCAAUUUUCUAACAAAAAGCUCUGAAAAAAACAAUUUUUCACCUGGAAAUCUCCAAAAUUAUCAAUUUUUCAAUCAAAAUCCUUUGAAAAUUCGAAUUUUCAACCAAGAAGUGUAUUUUUCCACAUAAAAAGCUCAGAAAAAGUCGAUUUUGCGACUAUAAAAGCUUCAAAAACCCGACUUUUCCUCCUAAAAAUGCCAAAAAUAUCCAAAAACUCAAUUUUCCACCAAAAAAACAUUUUAAAAAUAUAGUUUUCACCUCAAAAACGCCUCAAAAAACGAAUUUUAUCAACUAGAAAGCUGUGAAAACCGUUUUUUCUAAUCAAAAACCGCAUAAAAACUCAAUUUUUCACCCGAAAAAUUCAAUUUUCUAACAAAAAAUAACCGAAAAAUCCCAAUUUUUCCCAUCAUUUAAAACGCCAAAAACCUUCAAAAAAUCAAUUUUUCACAUAAACAGUGUCGGAAAUCCCAUUGUUUCAGCUAAAAACGUUCAAUAAACUCUUUUUCAAACGAAAAAAUUCUAAAAAUCACAAUUUUUCAUAUAAAAAUCACAUGUUGAGAUAAAACCAAAAAUAUCGUUUUUUCACUUAAAAAACUCGGAAAAAAUCAACUUUCUAACAAAAAAUUACCGAAAAAUCACAAUUUGCCUAUCAAAAACUUUUAAAAUUCAUUUUUCCACCUUAAAAACUCUAAAAAUCACAAUUUUCCUAUUAAAAACCUUUUAAACACUCAUUUUUUACAUAAAAAGUGUCGGAAAUCCCUUUUUCUACCUAAAAACCUUCAAAAAUUAUCAAUUUUCCACUCAAAAACCGCCAAAAACCUCCAAUUUUCCACCCAAAUCCCUCUAAAAGUCCCCAAUUUUUCAGAAAAUCUCCUCAGAAGACAUUUCAUUCUAUCACGGAUUUCUCGCCUCAUUUUCAGUGAUUGUUGUAUCAGAAUUGGGUGAUAAAACAUGGUUUAUCGCAGUUAUUAUGUCAAUGAGACACUCUCGUCUUACUGUAUUCUCUGGUGCAAUGGGUGCUCUUGCUUUGAUGACUGUACUCUCCGCAUGUCUUGGAUGG